This 31-nucleotide ribosomal RNA is filed under the name Boletinus cavipes. Its description in RNAcentral is "partial 18S ribosomal RNA". Lineage: Eukaryota; Fungi; Basidiomycota; Agaricomycetes; Boletales; Gyrodontaceae. The record is from RNAcentral.
UCCGGUAGGGGGACCUGCGGAAGGAUCAUUA